GGGGUGGGAGUGGCAGCCGUUCCAGCGGGCAUACGUGUCCGCUGCAGGCUCUCACACCUCGGGUGACACUUCCACCGUCCACGUACUCAAGCUGGACCUGUCCGUCCACCCUCGGGUGGGGUUGCAGGGGUUGCACCUCAAUGCCUCGGGCAGGGGUGAGGUUGGAACCCAGGUCCGGUGAUCCCAGGACCUCUGCCCCAGCAUCCUUGUGGCACUGCUUAGGGGGCAGGGCACAGUGCCCCACCCCACCCCUGCCCACAAGAAAAGUCAGGUGGGCUGGGGCCGGCGUGAUGGGCAGGCCUGAAGCUAGCGCACAGUGGGAGAUAAGCCUUAUCUGGAAGUGGCGGCUGGGGUCGGAAUUGGGCUGAUGGGAACGGGGACAGCCUUCCGGGUUAAUACAGUUCCGCAGAUAACGAGGGAGCUCUGCGCCAGCCGGGAGAUUCUGCUCUCCCCGCCUAUGGCCCUGCUGUCCUGCACCCUGUACAGGUGUCCCCACUUCUGUGUGCACAGGAGGGCACCUGCCGUGGGAGGUCCAGUGCAUGCCGGUGUGGCACGCAGUUGGGGGCACCUCCAGGAGAUGGGGUCAUCACCUGUGCUGGAGGGGCAAGUCAGCGCCAGGGCCUUCGGCCAGGUGAGCUUACUGUGGCCCCUACAGCGGUCCAGGUCCCUGUCCUCUGCCCUGGCAGCGUCCACGUGAGGUCCGCGUUCCCAGGCGCCAGCCUCCCAGCUCCUACUUCAGCCUCCUCUGUGCUGUGCUUCCCACUGGGGUGUGGGGCAGCCUCCCAGUAGGGGCCACCUGGACAAGGUGAGGUGGUGCUGGGGAGGGGCGAGGGCGUGGCAGGUGGGAGCCUGCUCCCCCCCCCAUGAGGUCACAGCUCUGUCUCCAGUCCCUGCUGGGCCCGCAGGACUCCCUCACCCCAGCCUGCGGAGAAAGAGUAAUUAACGUGAAGCUGAAAACUGAGCCAUUAAUUAGCGCAGCUCAGCAGCAGGCUUGGGCCGGGAGUGGGGCGCUGGGAUGCUGCACCUAACGAACGGGGUGACAUGCGAGGGGCGCAGGUGGGGAUUCCAGAGACCCAGGUGGUCUCCUGUGGGGUGGGCGCUGCAGAAGGGGGCCGGCUGGGGGCUGGGGGGGCCUGGACGGGCACCACUGGCUGGAUAUGGGAGCACAGAGGAGGGGCCCUCUAGGCGGACAGGAGCGGGGAGAGGAAGCGGGAAGCGCGGGGAGCACUGAUGACCAGUAGGGACAGCCUGGGCAGAGGCCCUAAGAUGUGCUCCUGCUUGACUGAGGCUGCCUGUGUGCUGGCCAGCGGGAGGGCGGCCUGGACCCACACCGUCCCCACCCAGGCCACAGGUCCCAGGUCACAUGGCCCUGCCCCCCUGCUCGGCUGUUGCUCAAUCCCCAUGCCGCCCUCACCUUAUCACGGCCCCACGGGACAGUGCUGCAGAAAUGGCCACUUCCCGUGGCCACAGCUGGGGCCCCAGAUAAAGGCCCCCGGAGCCCUGCCGGCCUGGUUGCUGGGGUGCUAGGCCAAGCCCGGCCCACACCUCACCCCCAGAGACACUGCUGAGGCUCAUCUUCCACAUGGGCCCUGUAGGUGCCUGGCUCCACUGGCCACCGCGCCACCCAGGGCCCGCCCGGGCCUCCGGGGGCGAGGACACCUGUGGCCAGCACCACACUGCUUGUCACAGCACAAGGGCCCCAGAGGCGGCCUGGGCUCCGAGGGGGCCCCCCAGCACAUGCACCACCGCCGCCUGUCCCCUCAGCCCGCACAGCCAGGCUCCCGGGUGCAGCUCCCUUGAGGGAGGGGUAAGGGUGUCACCCCUCCCUGGACCCAGGGCCCUGCGGGCUCCAGCUCCCCUCGCUACGGGAGCAUCCCCGGACAGGACACCUACCUGCUGGCUACACUGACCCCUUCCCUAAGUUCCCAAGGAGGCCGAGGAGACCAACAGGGCUCCGGUCGGGGGCCUAGAAGACGGGAAGGGACAAACUUCCGGGGGUCAGCACCAGGGGAGGCCCCGAAAUGCUCAGCCGCAGGACUAGGGCAGCACCUCAGCUCUCACCACACUCCCUGAACAGAGACUCCCUCCCCCAGCAGGGCUGCAUCGCAGCCUGUGUACCCACGGUCACCACCAGGGUCACAGACACAAGAACCACAGUGUCACGGGCCUGCCCGACGCCACGGUGAGCCUCGGUCCUGGCCUUCCUCCUCCCAUCGCCAUCUUCACUGCCUCUCCUACCGUCCCAGCCUUCUCCCUGCCCUUCUGGUCACACCACUAGCGCCUCCCCACUUUGUGUCCCUGUCCUUGGCUCAGGGUUCCACGUGGCAGUGUCUGCGGAGGACCUGCUGUCCCGGGGAAGCUGUGACCCAGAAGGUCCCCAGCCAGGUCCUGUGUGGUGCGGUGUGGGAGGAGGCGGCAGGGUGGGGCAGAUCUCCUGGUGAGCCUGCUGGGAGGUGUGGAAGGCUCUUGCCCUUCUGUGGGCCCAGGCUCCAGGGCACAACCUCAGCUUGCGUGGCCAUGGCCUGGGCUGCGCGGUUCUGCGUUCCAUGGGGAGCUGGGGAUGGAAGGCCUGGUGGAGACAGCAGGGCUGGAGGCCUCGAUGUGGUCCUCGGCACGUAGGUGUGGGUGGCCAGGCACCCUUGUGACCACAGAGGGCGUGGACCUUGGGCAGGGCCAGGGCCCGUGCAAGGCUUGCAUGGCAGGGAGCUUCUGGGCAUCCGGGGCACUCGAGGACCCACAUGAGAUCUUGCAGGCCACCAUUCCAGGCCCCAGGAAGAGGACAGCUCCCAUUGGCUGUGGGCACGGCUGGCAGCAGGCAGGACUAUUGUGUAAUGGGUGUGGCGUGGAAUGGAGCAACCGGCUUUCUAGUCACAGGCGGGUCUGGCAAUGGUGGGGCAAUAGCUCCCCGCACCCUCCUUGUCUGUACCCCUGCCCCAUGGGCACCCCGCAUGCUCGGGCCCCCGGGCCUCCCCUCCCGUGUGCCCCAAUGGUUGGAUCAGGGGUGGGAAGGACGCACUGCUCAGGGCCCCAGGCACAGACCUGGCGAGGAUAGGACCAGGCAGGUGUGAUAAGGAGGGACAGUUGUCACCAUCAUGGGCACGGCUAAUAGCCAGAUAAGAAUCUCCCAGUGGCCGGAAGGUGAGGAUGGCUGGCAGGGCUCCCCACUUCUCGGGUGGGGACACUGAGGCCACUCAGCUGGGCAGAGGCCCCGGGGCCUGGGCAGACUCAGAGCCCUGCCCUCCCUACUGCGUCACUAGGGUGACCGCAGCCUGGAUGGUGCUGUGGCCUGGGGCUCUGCGGCUGCAGACCCAGCUGUCCCCACGCGGCCUGAGACCAGCGCCGGACUCGAAGGAGCAGAGCCCAUGUCACCCCCGCGCCUGCAUGGUGACCGGUGACGUUCCCGCUCCCCGGUGUGCGUGGCAGCCCCACCUGUCGCUGUGUUCACGGCAGGAGCCCUUCCAGUGGGUGUGGAGCGGGCGGUGUGAACUCGAGCUGCUGUGGCCGUCGUCGUCAGCAUGAACGGAUGGACACGGACAGCACGGGGGAGGACGUCACCCAAGGGGUAGGCAGAGGUGGGCAGCGCGACUCCUGCCGGCUUCCUGACUCGGCGCGUCGGCCCUGCCCGGGUCAGGAGGGACUCCAGGGGCUGUUACCUGCGGCCCAUUGCUCCUCUCCCCCAGACACAGAGGACCCCGAGCCCACACAGCCACCCGCAGGCUCAGAGGUUCAGCACCUGUCGGUCCCAGCACCCCCGUCCCACCCCUGGGCCCUGCCGCACAGCUGUCCUGCCAGAGACAAUCAACAGAUCGCCCACAAGUCAAAGGCGGACCCGAGACCGGAACGUGGUGGUGAGGCCGAUGGGCGCCUCCUUGCUUCCUGCCCACCAGGUCUCCAUCAGUCCCGAUGGGAGGAGGCACCCGGACCCCACCCGCCCCCCUACUCCCCAAGCUGCAGCUUCUCCAAGAGGGACUGACGGGUGAGGAAGCCCCGGUACAAACAGCUCUGGGGUCACUCCCAAGCCUGGACACUGGCAGGGAGGCCGGGCCACAGUCCCAUCCUGCAGUCUGAUAGCCACUGGGGCAGAAGGGAGAGCAGGAGUGUGGAGCAGGGAGCCCCAGCUUUCCCCUCGGGACCCCCGUAGGCCCCUCAAGUCUCGGCCCUGGAAGCAGCUCACACAGCACCUGGGCAGCACCCAGGCCCCACCACAAGCCCGGCAGGACUCAUCAGCAGCCUCUUCUCUUUACCUUCCCCCAAACCAGUGGGACUGAGUCACUCCACAAUUCUGAGUGAGUCCCAACUCUGUGACCGUUUUCUUUUAAGUUGUUUAUUAAAUACAGUAGAAAUCGCCCCGUUAGACCAGUCCUUCUGAUUCUGGAAGACCCACACGGCGAUCAACCUCACCCCAUCACCCAGUGCCCGCCCCAUCCUGGCCUUGCUUCUCCCAGGACGCUGCGCCGUGGCUCUCAGCCCCCAUGGGAGCGGGGCUUUCCACACGUCCUGCACUCCCGAAUCGCAGCUUGUUCGCGGCUGCAUAACAUUCUGCUGUGCCCGCACUGCUGUCAGUUUCUCCAACCACCGGCCCUUGCAGGCGUACGGUGCUCCCACCCUGAGGUGACCUCGAGUAACUGCUGAGGACCGGAGCCCAUUUCCCAGGGAGACCCUGGGCACGGGCAGGGGUGGAAGGCAGCGCUCAUUCCCUGCAGAAAGAACUGCAGGCCACUGCCCAGUGCUUCCCUAUCCCAGCCUCCACAUUUUUAUUCUUCAGUCCACACACUCUGUGCACAGGAGCCUACUCGGGACCCUCACUGUGUGAGGUAGGAGGAAACCGACAGGACAGCAGGCCCUGCCCUAGGGGACACCUGUCCAGGGGCAGCAUAGAGGAGGCCAGGACCCUGACACUCAGGAUCCAGUCCCAUGUGGAGACCUGUGAGAGGCGAUGGUGGAGGAAGGGGAGAGGCCGCCCAGCAGCAGCAGGAGGGACUCAAGCCCCUCAGGACCCAACCAGGGGGGCCAUCAUCACUCCCAGUCUACAGCGGAACACCUUUGAGGUUCAGAGUGGCUGUCACCUGCCCCAGGAUCGGGACAAGAGGGGCAGGGCCAGGAUUGGACCUGGAUUCCUGGCGGCUCCCAGCUCCAGCACCCCACUCCAACCUACCCCCACCCGCCCCCCCAGGAGGUCCAGGCUGUGACAACGCGGUGGGGCGGGGCGGGUGGCAGGGAGCGCUGCGCUGCCACCCUUCGCCCACAGAGGGCAGCAGCGGCCCAGACCCUAGGCGGCAGAUGCGGCUCCGCAGUGGUGGGCACAGGAGACCAGGAAGAUGGGACCGCGUGGGGGUCUCUGUGCCCCAUGCCCCACCUCCGGCUGCACCUGCCCCAGCCGGAGCCCGCGGGGUCCCCUCCUGGGCCUGAAUACUCUGGGACCCGAGACGCACUGGCUUUAAAGCGUGGCUGAGAAACAGGUUCUACAGCAGCUCCUAGAGAUUUUUCCAGAACCCAGGGUCUUCGCACUGAGCUGCAUCCCCAGCCCUUUUCCUUUAUUUUAAGACGGUUUUGCAGACCCUUGUUAAACUGUCCAGGGUGGGCUUGAACUUCAAGUCCUCCUGCCUCACCCUCCACGAGUGCUGGGACUUUACCGGCCUGUACACCUGGCAUGAUCAUUUUUUUAUUGAUCACAUGUGGAUGUAACAAUAUCCCGAAUA
Molecule: long non-coding RNA, 5699 nt
Organism: Fukomys damarensis (Damara mole-rat)
Lineage: Eukaryota; Metazoa; Chordata; Mammalia; Rodentia; Bathyergidae
Exons: 3
Source: RefSeq, a predicted model, not a curated record